UUUGGGAAAUUAGAGAUGCA
Molecule: small RNA, 20 nt
Filed under: Arabidopsis thaliana (thale cress)
Lineage: Eukaryota; Viridiplantae; Streptophyta; Magnoliopsida; Brassicales; Brassicaceae
Description: ATSL257760
Source: RNAcentral